UUUUUUUUCAAAUUCCGGAUUUUUUCCCGGUUCCUUACUGUUAAAAUUUGAAUACUAAUCGCGCCUUACUGAUUUGUUUUCAUUGACAACUGGUUCCGGGUUAAAGAUGGCGUCCAAUUUGGCCCUGGGUCAAAGAUGGCCUCCAAUUGUCAAAUUUCAAUGUUCUCAUCUAUCAAUUGGGGAAAAAGAAAUGCAGAUGACAAUGAUGAUAAAGAAAAUACCAGACCAAAUAAGUUAAAUAAAAUUGAUAGUAAUGUUGAAGUUGUGGAAAUUGAACAAAAAUCAACCAAACAACAGAAAAGACACUCAAGUGAAGACAAAUAUGAGCAAGACUUCAUAUUGGAAAGAGGAUUUAGAACCAUGGCUAGAACUUAAGUCUGUUGUUGUUAAAUCCAUGCUGAUGCGUAAAGUUGUAAAUGAAAGAAGAGAGAAAAGAGAUUAAUUGUUGAAAAAAAUCAAAUCAAAGAAUAUUUGACAAUUAAUAUGACUACUUCUAUUUAUGUUUGUUCAACUCCAUUAAAUGUGAAUAUUAUACUAAUCUUUAUUUUUGUGACCCCAACGUGCACCCACAGUAAA
This 576-nucleotide long non-coding RNA is filed under the name Mytilus galloprovincialis (Mediterranean mussel). The record is from RNAcentral. Lineage: Eukaryota; Metazoa; Mollusca; Bivalvia; Mytilida; Mytilidae.